CUCAGGAUGAACGCUAGCGACAGGCCUAACACAUGCAAGUCGAGGGGCAGCGAAGAGGUAGCAAUACCUCUGUCGGCGACCGGCGCACGGGUGAGUAACACGUAUGCAAUCCACCUGUAACAGGGGGAUAACCCGGAGAAAUCCGGACUAAUACCCCAUAAUAUGGGCGCUCCGCAUGGAGGGCUCAUUAAAGAAAGCAAUUUUGGUUACAGACGAGCAUGCGCUCCAUUAGCCAGUUGGCGGGGUAACGGCCCACCAAAGCGACGAUGGAUAGGGGUUCUGAGAGGAAGGUCCCCCACAUUGGAACUGAGACACGGUCCAAACUCCUACGGGAGGCAGCAGUGAGGAAUAUUGGUCAAUGGUCGGCAGACUGAACCAGCCAAGUCGCGUGAGGGAAGACGGCCCUACGGGUUGUAAACCUCUUUUGUCGGAGAGUAAAGUACGCUACGUGUAGCGUAUUGCAAGUAUCCGAAGAAAAAGCAUCGGCUAACUCCGUG
RNAcentral lists this ribosomal RNA (497 nucleotides) under uncultured bacterium. RNAcentral describes it as "bacterial SSU rRNA". It matches the Rfam family "Bacterial small subunit ribosomal RNA", at positions 23 to 507 of the family's 1533-position model. The record is from RNAcentral.